AACGCACAUUGCGCCCCUCGGUAGUCCGUUGGGCAUGCCUGUUCGAGCGUCAUUUAAACCUUCAAGCUCAGCUUGGUGUUGGGUGCUUGUCCUCCCCAGCGGUGGACUCACCUCAAAUGCAUUGGCGGCCGGUAUGUUGGCUUCGAGCGCAGUAGAACGCGCCUGGCGUCUUGACGUACUGGUCCUCCACGAGACUCUUCUCAUCUUGACCUCGGAUCAGGUAGGGAUACCCGCUGAACUUAA
This 243-nucleotide unclassified non-coding RNA is filed under the name uncultured fungus. Its description in RNAcentral is "sequence contains ITS2". Lineage: Eukaryota; Fungi. The record is from RNAcentral.